GUUUUUUUCACCUGUAUAAUAACUCUAUGCUUAUCUAAAUUUACUAAUCUCUUGUCAAACAUUGAAGACAAAGAUGUUUCUUCACCUAAAUCAUAAAUUCAUUAAACUCAAAUUCCUUAAUGGAAAUAUGAUCCACUUUGUAUCAAGGGCGGCCUUCCACAUUUUCAUUAAUUCUUCACAACUUGUAGAAAUCGGUCACCAACCUCAUAGUUUCAUUAACUAUGUAGUUACUCUCUGUUCAUACAAACUUCUAUAUAUAGGUUGGCUCAUUUGUCACUCUUUCAUUCUUAAACAAGCAAAUAGCCAAAUAGCUGCAGUGUUUGGUACUCAAGGUAGCCAAAUCUCAUUGCAAAAUGGACUAUUGUAAUGAAGAAUCAAAUGAAGACGAUGAUUUUUUUGAACAAAGCUUCUUUAGUGGGUGCACUAAUGGGUGAGUAUGCUGUGAAACAUUUAUGUAAAGAGCCAUGUAGAACUAGUGAGCUAACAGGGCAUGCAUGGGUGAAAGAAGUAUUGCAAGGAAAUCCCACUCGUUGUUAUGAGAUGUUUCGAAUGGAAAAACAUAUUUUUCAUAAACUUUGCACUAAAUUAGUUGAUCAUGGUUUAAAGUCCACUAAUCACAUAGGGGUAGAAGAGAUGGUUGCAAUGUUCUUACUUGUUGUUGGACAUGGAGUGGGUAAUAAAAUGAUUCAAGAAAGGUUCCAACACUCAGGAGAAACUGUGAGUAGACGUUUUCAUGAUGUGUUAGUUGCUUGCUUGAGUUUGUCCAUCGAAUAUAUAAAGCCUCAAGAUCCUUUGUUCCGUGAUAGUCAUGCAAAAAUUCAAAGUGAUCCACGAUAUUGGCCAUUUUUUAAGAAUGCCAUAGGAGCAAUCGAUGGUACGCAUAUUCCCUGUGUGGUUAGUGCCAAUGACCAAACUAGAUUUAUUGGACGAAAGGGAUAUCCGACACAAAAUGUAAUGGCUGUAUGUGAUUGGAACAUUUGCUUUACUUUGUUUUAGCUGGAUGGGAAGGUAGUGCCCAUGAUGCUCGUGUUUUUGACCAUGCUCUCACAAAUGCAAAUCUAAAUUUUCCACAUCCUCCUCCAGGUAUGUAUUAUUUGGUGGAUGCCGGUUAUCCAACACCGAUGGGAUAUCUUGGUCCAUACAGAUGUGAAUGUUAUCACCUCCCUGAUUUUCGGUGUUCUCAUGGGUUUGAAAAUAACAACGAGGUAUUCAAUUAUUAUCACUCAAGUUUAAGGUGCACAAUAGAAAGAACUUUUGGUGUAUGGAAGAAUAGAUUUGCAAUUCUACGACGCAUGCCUAAAUUCACAAUUAAGAUACAAGUUGAAGUCGUUGUUGCAACGAUGGCUAUACAUAACUUUAUUAGAAGGAAUGUUGAUAUGGACGUCGAUUUCAAUCGGUAUGAGGAUGAAGACUUAACCCUUGAUCAUGAUGAUUAUCGUAGACCAGUUAAUUAGGAUUUAUCUCAAAAUUUAAAUUUAGCUUUCUCAUCUGAGAUGAAUCAUGUUCGAAACUCGGUUCGAGAUCAAAUUAUAGAGUUCAACAAAAAUCAUUAUUAUUGUAGUAAUGUUUAAUUUUAAAAGACCAUCAGAGAUGAGAUAGCAGGAUGCACUGAGAAGGCAUAUGACUAUCUUGCAAAGAAACACCCUCUCUGCAACUCAUCAACCAAACACUUAGUUAUGCUAAGGAGAUGGAGAAGAUUGUCUCAAAAGAAAUGGAUGCAAUGGAUUUUGUGUUUUCCAAGAUUGCUAAUAUUGUCUAAUGAAAUUGUUUACUUCUGAUUCAAUGUGGAA
Long non-coding RNA from Medicago truncatula (barrel medic), 1790 nucleotides. RefSeq lists it as uncharacterized. NCBI's taxonomy places the organism in Eukaryota, Viridiplantae, Streptophyta, Magnoliopsida, Fabales, Fabaceae. The record is from RefSeq and is a predicted model, not a curated record. The transcript is spliced from 3 exons.